UAUUGGGCAAUGGGCGCAAGCCUGACCCAGCAACGCCGCGUGAAUGAUGAAGGUCUUCGGAUUGUAAAGUUCUGUGACGGGGGACGAACACAAUGACGGUACCCCGAUAGCAAGCCACGGCUAACUACGUGCCAGCAGCCGCGGUAAUACGUAGGUGGCAAGCGUUAUCCGGAAUGACUGGGCGUAAAGGGUGCGUAGGUGGUUUGGCAAGUUGGCGGCGUAAUUCCGAGGCUCAACCUCGGCGCUACCGCCAAAACUGUCUAACUUGAGUGCAGGAGGGGUAAGUGGAAUUCCUAGUGUAGCGGUGGAAUGCGUAGAUAUUAGGAGGAACAUCAGCGGCGAAGGCGACUUACUGGACUGUAACUGACACUGAGGCACGAAAGCGUGGGGAGCAAACAG
This 399-nucleotide ribosomal RNA is filed under the name uncultured bacterium. RNAcentral describes it as "bacterial SSU rRNA". It matches the Rfam family "Bacterial small subunit ribosomal RNA", at positions 362 to 775 of the family's 1533-position model. The record is from RNAcentral.